Molecule: ribosomal RNA, 497 nt
Filed under: uncultured bacterium
Lineage: Bacteria
Description: partial 16S ribosomal RNA
Rfam family: Bacterial small subunit ribosomal RNA
Source: RNAcentral
GAUGAACGCUGGCGGCGUGCCUAAUACAUGCAAGUCGAGCGAACAGAUGAGGAGCUUGCUCCUCUGACGUUAGCGGCGGACGGGUGAGUAACACGUGGAUAACCUACCUAUAAGACUGGGAUAACUUCGGGAAACCGGAGCUAAUACCGGAUAAUAUAUUGAACCGCAUGGUUCAAUAGUGAAAGACGGUUUUGCUGUCACUUGUAGAUGGAUCCGCGGCGCAUUAGCUAGUUGGUAAGGUAAAGGCUUACCAAGGCAGCGAUGCGUAGCCGACCUGAGAGGGUGAACGGCCACACUGGAACUGAGACACGGUCCAGACUCCUACGGGAGGCAGCAGUAGGGAAUCUUCCGCAAUGGGCGAAAGCCUGACGGAGCAACGCCGCGUGAGUGAUGAAGGUCUUCGGAUCGUAAAACUCUGUUAUUAGGGAAGAACAAAUGUGUAAGUAACUAUGCACGUCUUGACGGUACCUAAUCAGAAAGCAACGGCUAACUACGUG